Molecule: ribosomal RNA, 388 nt
Filed under: Theileria annulata
Lineage: Eukaryota; Apicomplexa; Aconoidasida; Piroplasmida; Theileriidae
Description: SSU rRNA
Rfam family: Eukaryotic small subunit ribosomal RNA
Source: RNAcentral
AUACGGGGCUUAAAGUCUUGUAAUUGGAAUGAUGGGAAUUUAAACCUCUUCCAGAGUAUCAAUUGGAGGGCAAGUCUGGUGCCAGCAGCCGCGGUAAUUCCAGCUCCAAUAGCGUAUAUUAAAAUUGUUGCAGUUAAAAAGCUCGUAGUUGAAUUUCUGCUGCAUUGCUUGUGUCCCUCUGGGGUCUGUGCAUGUGGCUUUUUUCGGACGGAGUUUCUUUGUCUGAAUGUUUACUUUGAGAAAAUUAGAGUGCUCAAAGCAGGCUUUCGCCUUGAAUAAUUUAGCAUGGAAUAAUAAAGUAGGACUUUGGUUCUAUUUUGUUGGUUUUAGGUACCAAAGUAAUGGUUAAUAGGAACAGUUGGGGGCAUUCGUAUUUAACUGUCAGAGG